RNAcentral lists this ribosomal RNA (460 nucleotides) under uncultured bacterium. RNAcentral's name for it is "bacterial SSU rRNA". It matches the Rfam family "Bacterial small subunit ribosomal RNA", at positions 923 to 1379 of the family's 1533-position model. The record is from RNAcentral.
GCACAAGCGGUGGAGCAUGUGGAUUAAUUCGUCACUAACCGAAGAACCUUAUCAGGGUUUGACAUCCGCGGCAAGUCCGUGAAAGCGGCACCCUCCGGGGCAACCCGGACCGCGAGACAGGUGUUGCAUGGCUGUCGUCAGCUCGUGUCGUGAGAUGUUGGGUUAAGUCCCGCAACGAGCGCAACCCUCACGCGAUGUUGCCAGCGUCAAGUCGGGCACUCUUCGCGAACUGCCCGGGUAACCGGGAGGAAGGUGGGGAUGACGUCAAGUCGGCAUGGCCCUUACAUCCUGGGCUUCACCCAUGCUACAAUGGGCGCGACAGAGGGACGCAAGACCGCGAGGUGGAGCCAAUCCCAAAAAGGCGCUCUCAGUUCGGAUUGCAGGCUGCAACUCGCCUGCGUGAAGCCGGAAUCGCUAGUAACCGCCGGUCAGCUAAACGGCGGUGAAUACGUUCCCGGGC